Molecule: ribosomal RNA, 580 nt
Filed under: uncultured Basidiomycota
Lineage: Eukaryota; Fungi; Basidiomycota
Description: LSU rRNA
Rfam family: Eukaryotic large subunit ribosomal RNA
Source: RNAcentral
GGAUUCCCCUAGUAACUGCGAGUGAAACGGGAAAAGCUCAAAUUUAAAAUCUGGCAGUCUUUGGCUGUCCGAGUUGUAGUCUGGAGAAGCGUCCUCCGCGCUGGACCGUGUACAAGUCUCCUGGAACGGAGCGUCAUAGAGGGUGAGAAUCCCGUCUUUGACACGGACUACCAGUGCUUUGUGAUGCGCUCUCAAAGAGUCGAGUUGUUUGGGAAUGCAGCUCAAAAUGGGUGGUAAACUCCAUCUAAAGCUAAAUAUUGGCGAGAGACCGAUAGCGAACAAGUACCGUGAGGGAAAGAUGAAAAGCACUUUGGAAAGAGAGUUAAACAGUACGUGAAAUUGCUGAAAGGGAAACGCUUGAAGUCAGUCGCGUCCGCUAGAACUCAGCCUGGCUUUUGCUUGGUGCAUUUUCUAGUGGACGGGCCAGCAUCACUUUUGGCUGCGGGAUAAAGGUCGCAGGAAUGUGGCACCUUCGGGUGUGUUAUAGCCUGUGAUUGUAUACCGUGGCUGGGAGUGAGGACCGCAGCACGCCUUCAUGGCGGGGGUUCGCCCACCUUCGUGCUUAGGAUGCUGGCGUAAU